This 253-nucleotide ribosomal RNA is filed under the name uncultured prokaryote. RNAcentral's name for it is "partial 16S ribosomal RNA". It matches the Rfam family "Bacterial small subunit ribosomal RNA", at positions 525 to 777 of the family's 1533-position model. The record is from RNAcentral.
ACGAGGGGGGCGAGCGUUGUUCGGAAUUAUUGGGCGUAAAGGGCGCGUAGGCGGCUUGACAAGUCACUUGUGAAAUCUCCGGGCUUAACUCGGAACGGCCAAGUGAAACUGUCAUGCUAGAGUGCAGAAGGGGCAAUCGGAAUUCUUGGUGUAGCGGUGAAAUGCGUAGAUAUCAAGAGGAACACCUGAGGUGAAGACGGGUUGCUGGGCUGACACUGACGCUGAGGCGCGAAGGCCAGGGGAGCAAACGGGA